Molecule: non-coding RNA, 2537 nt
Organism: Cricetulus griseus (Chinese hamster)
Lineage: Eukaryota; Metazoa; Chordata; Mammalia; Rodentia; Cricetidae
Source: RefSeq, a predicted model, not a curated record
AGGUUAUCAACCCUCCCACUCAGGGCGCCGGCACCCAGAACCGAGUUUUAGGUUCCGAGAAAGUGAAAAAUCACCAGGCUUGAGAGGGAACUCAGACCCCUCAGAAAUGAACUGCUCUAAGAGAGGCUUAGUGGUGCCUAGGCCUAUCCGCAAAAGGCACCCUUAGCCUUGAAAACAAAGUGUCUGGUCCUACGAGGGCUUCCCGCGCCCCUCGAGGCACGCCACAGGAGCCCCAGAGAAGCGCAGGUACUGAGGGAUGUCACCUGGUGUCCCAUCUACCAGGUUGGGGGUGGGGAGGGGUAAAGGGGGAGCCAGAAUGAAGAAAGAUGUAAAAUAGUAUUCAAAGAGAAAAGGGGAGGGAGUGGGUGACAUUUCGUUCACACAAACCCAGUUCCUGAUUUCAAGUGAAGACAGAAUUCUUGUCUCUGCACCCGCACACAGAUGCCUCAGCCAGAAUCCCCAGCUCCAAAUGCCAAAAGGGAAAGAAAAAAAAAAAAAAGCAAAAGAAGAACAGUAAAUGUCAAGGCUGCCAUGUAUUUAUUUGGAUAAUCACUACCCCUCCAUCGCCCCAUGCACUCAUCAGCUCCUUUCAGCAGGGUUUGUAAAAGCAAGGUUGAGGCCGUCUCCUGCAAGCAGUUGGUUCUUUUCCUAUGCCUCCCUGGCUGUCCCAAAAGUCAUUCUCUGGGGUCCUGGGUUUUAAAAUGUAUUCCCAAGGGGAGCGCUCUGUGGUCCCAGCGGGCACUCGAAAACCAGAGGUGAUCGGCAGUCACACCAGUAUUCUCAGGGUCCCGUGGCUAAGCUCCGGCCGGCACAGGGCGAUUCCCCGCCCCCCCCCUUCAGAGAGUACGGUAGUGCAUCUGCACCCAGCCACCACCAUGGGUGUGUCCACCCUGUAGCUCGGCGGGAGAAACUGCUUAGAACUUCAAGGAAUAUAGGACCUGAGGAGUGAGCCCAUAGGCUGACGUGAGGGCUCCCGAGCCGAACCCGCUUUCAGGGAGGUGCUGCCCAGGUCUGGGCGAACUGUGUGGGCCCUUCUCCAAAUGCAAGAAGGGAACCUCUUUAGAGAGAAAGGAAUGAAUGAAAGAAAAAGGAAUAUUAAUCUCAGAGAAGAGGUGAAAGGGGAAACAUUUUCUUUUAUUUUUUCUUCCUGCUAUCGUAGAUACCCCCAGAUUCUUGCUCAAGAGAUACCAGAGUGCACUGGCACGUGCCCAGUUGCCAACAAUUGUUUUAAAGGAAAAAAAAAAAAAGCUUAUCUCUUCGUUCCACUCUCAGGCAAAGCCACAAGUAAGAAGGAAAAAAAGGGGGGGAGGAGUGGGACAUGGGCUUCAAAGGACAAAAGUGAAACAAGCAAGACCCAUGUACACCCUCUCCAGCUUCUCCCCGGCGCUCUUCGGGCGAAUUCGAGGGGCGGGCGCAGCGCUGGUGAAAGUUUGUUCACCAGCAUUUCGCAGCUAGCUGCGUGGAGAGGAGGAGGAGAGGGAGGGUCGAUCUCCAAGCCUGUGGUCGCAAGGAUGACUGAGCCGGCGCCGCGCUUACCUCACAGUCUUCGUACUUGAUAUUAUCCGUCAGUUUCCAAAGCAUUUUCAUGGAUCGGCGUGAUCGGAUUUGCCCCUCUGCGCCUCGCACCCCAGCGGAGCUACUCUCUAGCCUAAUCGCCUCAUUAGCAUAUCAACAAUAGUCCAAUUGCUAGCCAGUACCACAAUCUGCCGCCGGCCGCUCCGACCCAGGUAUAAAGGCCUCUUCAAGCCGCGAACUUGCUCCCAGAGCACACGCCUGCACGCUUGCAAGCUAGCCCAACAGCUAGCCCAGAGCUCCAGCACCGUCCCUAGCUCCAGCGGUCCCUUCCCCGGCCCAAUUUCAUCCCUUUCCCCUGCGCCUGUCUACGGAUCCUGCCAGCCAAAGAUGCCUUGGAUAAAGCUUGGUACUACACAGGGUACUGGCGGCGGGGGGGGGGGACCAACUUUUAGUACACCUCACCCCUGCUACUACAUCCGCCUCUAUCCGAUCUGCCUUUCGUCCCCAUCCGAUUUUAUUAGAAAUCAUUAUCCCUUUCGCAAUGAAUCGUAACCAUCAAACCAGGACCAGCAAAGUCACUCCAGGAUUUUUGUCCAACUGGAGAUCGCCUCCGCUCACGGCUGUUACCCCCUCGGGCUGCAGCGCCCUGGGAGUUUUAUUAGCUUUGCGCUUUCUCCCCAGGUUGGAGAUUCUGCCAACCGGCUCUGGUGGCUCGGUUGGGGUUUGCGAUCUCUUAAUUGCUACGUGUAAAAUAAAAGUUGUACCCUGAAGAGGUUACUCGACAGCUCCGGGGGUUAAAUGAUUUUCCUCCAGUUUGUGUGAAGCUGGAGCGGACUGACAAUUCGUCGGGGUGUUUGGACUGUAAGGUUUUCCAGGUGCAACGUGGACAAGAACACGGAAUUUUGGAUGGAUAUAUAUAUAUAUAGCUGCUUCUGGAGUUAGCCGAAAAGCAGACCUAUGAGUACUUGAGACUCACUCCAUGCCGUGUCAUGCGUGCAUCAAAAUAAAUCAUUGGGAACUGA